AAUCAACGCUGGCGGCGUGCCUCAGACAUGCAAGUCGAACGAUUAAACUUUCCUUCGGGAAAGAUAUAAAGUGGCGCACGGGUGAGUAACACGUAAGUAAUCUGCCUUUGAGUGGGGAAUACCUUCGGGAAACCGAAGCUAAUACCGCAUAAUGCAGCGGCACCGCAAGGUGACAGUUGUUAAAGGAGCAAUCCGCUUAAAGAGGAGCUUGCGGCAGAUUAGCUAGUUGGUAAGGAAUGGCUUACCAAGGCUACGAUCUGUAACCGGUCUAAGAGGACGGUCGGUCACACUGACACUGAAUAACGGGUCAGACUCCUACGGGAGGCAGCAGUCGGGAAUUUUGGGCAAUGGGCGAAAGCCUGACCCAGCAACGCCGCGUGAAGGAUGAAGUAUUUCGGUAUGUAAACUUCGAAAGAAUGGGAAGAAAACAAUGACGUACCAUUUAUAAGGUCCGGCUAACUACGU
This 465-nucleotide ribosomal RNA is filed under the name uncultured bacterium. Its description in RNAcentral is "bacterial SSU rRNA". It matches the Rfam family "Bacterial small subunit ribosomal RNA", at positions 32 to 506 of the family's 1533-position model. The record is from RNAcentral.